RNAcentral lists this ribosomal RNA (476 nucleotides) under uncultured bacterium. RNAcentral describes it as "bacterial SSU rRNA". It matches the Rfam family "Bacterial small subunit ribosomal RNA", at positions 334 to 796 of the family's 1533-position model. The record is from RNAcentral.
UACUCCUACGGGAGGCAGCAGUAGGGAAUCUUCCACAAUGGGCGCAAGCCUGAUGGAGCAACACCGCGUGAGUGAAGAAGGGUUUCGGCUCGUAAAGCUCUGUUGUUAAAAGAAGAACACGUAUGAGAGUAACUGUUCAUACGUUGACGGUAUUUAACCAGAAAGUCACGGCUAACUACGUGCCAGCAGCCGCGGUAAUACGUAGGUGGCAAGCGUUAUCCGGAUUUAUUGGGCGUAAAGAGAGUGCAGGCGGUUUUCUAAGUCUGAUGUGAAGGCCUUCGGCUUAACCGGAGAAGUGCAUCGGAAACUGGAGUAACUUGAGUGCAGAAGAGGGUAGUGGAACUCCGAUGUGUAGCGGUGGAAUGCGUAGAUAUAUGGAAGAACACCAGUGGCGAAGGCGGCUACCUGGUCUGCAACUGACGCUGAGACUCGAAAGCAUGGGUAGCGAACAGGAUUAGAUACCCUGGUAGGAUAGC